GGAUAGCUCAGUUGGUUAGAGUGUGGUGUUGGUAGCACCAAGGUCGCAGGUUCAAUCCUCGUAUGGGACA
Non-coding RNA from Podarcis lilfordi (Lilford's wall lizard), 70 nucleotides. The record is from the annotation of a GenBank genome assembly. Lineage: Eukaryota; Metazoa; Chordata; Lepidosauria; Squamata; Lacertidae.